AAAUUACACAACACAUUGAUGUACAUAAGACACCAAACAAUUAUUUUUUAUUUAUGAAUGACUCUUGCAACUUUGUAGGAACUAAAUCAUGGAGUUAUACUUAUAAAUGAUAAGAAAAUUUUCUAAUUAUUGUACAUCCAAAUGAGGAAAAAUAUGAAUAAAACACUCAAACUAAUUCAUAUUUUGAUUAUAGUUUUUUCUCUAAUUGUCCUUGUAACAGCUGGUGACUCCGAAUAUCAUGCAUUUUGCACUGCCGACGAGGAUUGUAUAAACAAUGCAUGUUACGAAAAUCAUGUUGCAAAGUGCCAUUUGUAUAUGUGUGUAUGUGAGAUGUAAGUUAUGAUAUUGGUACUUAAGGAAUAAAUGUAUAAUUAUAAUGGUGUAAGUUAUGCUAAAUAAAUUCGAUUGUGGAUUGUGCCAAUAUAAGUAUGUAAGGGUGUAUUUUAAAUUUAUAAUUGUCCAUAAUUGUGAGUUUUGUGGAAUUAUAAUCAAAUGGUUCACUUUGUAAA
Molecule: long non-coding RNA, 509 nt
Organism: Vicia villosa (hairy vetch)
Lineage: Eukaryota; Viridiplantae; Streptophyta; Magnoliopsida; Fabales; Fabaceae
Exons: 2
Source: RefSeq, a predicted model, not a curated record